This 204-nucleotide long non-coding RNA is filed under the name Glycine max (soybean). RNAcentral's name for it is "long non-coding RNA (GMAX_LNC003132)". The record is from RNAcentral. Lineage: Eukaryota; Viridiplantae; Streptophyta; Magnoliopsida; Fabales; Fabaceae.
AAUUAAAUGAUGUUUAACUAAAUUUCUUAAUAAGCAUAAAAGUAUUUUUUUUUUAUAUAUUUGAGACUAGAGAGUUAAUAGACAAAGCUCACAGUAGGGGUGUAAAUUACUCUAAAAAAAUAUGUUAUUGAGUUUAUACAAAUGGAGUGAACUGUAAUAUUUAAAUAAGUUUGGAGAUUGGAGUUUAGUGUCAUUCAAAUAAAU